GCGUUUUCACCCAUGGGACUGCAACUUCAUGUUAAAUGAUGGAAACGGUAGGAACACAAGCGAUCGACGCGAUCCAAGCGGCCUGGCCUUGAUACUACAUGAUUCUAUAUAUAUAUAUAUAUAUAUAUAUAUAUAUGGCUACUCUACAUUAAUUUUAAAGUCUUCGGCCCACACUUAGAAUUUUUAUUGAUAAAUAUUUUUAAACAUAUAAUAUAUAUAACAGACAUUAGGUGCAAUUAAAUAAGAGGUACAAAAAAAGAGUAAAUUAAUUAAUGUUACAUAGGAAUAUAUUUUUAUUUCACAAAAUAAUGACAAAUAUACAUUACUUAAUUUUUAUUUAUAACUAAACUUACAAUUAUAAGAUCUUCCAAACGUUUUAAUAAAUUCUCACUUAACAUAAUAGGCAAGAACAUAAACCAAUUAUGUAGCGUAUGUCAAAACAGAAUUUGUGCCUGAUCACUUUAAUCACUUUCCAACUUUCAAUAGUUGCAACUUGCCAUUCUGACCCUUUUUACCGUUGCCACAUAGUCACAGUCGUUCUCUUGGUUCUCUUCUUCUUAGGUUAAUCACGUGAUCACGUCCCACUCGCUAUACCUGCGCGCGCAUACAUUCAUCCCCGAUCCUGGGCUAUGUUCAGAUUCCCCACCCGGGUGCACCCAGACAUCAUUCUAUCUCUGUUUAACAUUCGGUAAACAACAAAGAUACAACGACAUCUAGAUGCACCCAGGUGGGGAAUCUGAACACAGCCCUGCCAGUGCCUGGCCCGGUUGUUUCCUGCUUUUAGAUACUGCCUGCACUCCCGUGUUUUCACCAUUCGCUGGUUGGCCGUGUACCAAUUAUAAAGUUAAUAGUCCGUUUGUUUUCUGUUCCUGAACUCCCUGAAUUAGUGUGCACUUAAAAUGAAAUAGAUAUAUAUUUGAAAGUUAGUGAAAGCAAGAAGGAACGUUUCAGUGUAGUCUAGUGCAGAAAUAGAAAACAAGCCUAGUGUUUAGCGUGAAAAAGUGUGGUUAGGAUUGCUGACGCAAUCCACCUAGAAUUUUAACAUCUCAUUAAGACCUUGCUUCCCGCAUUAAGACUUUGUAUCCAACAUUAAGACUUUGCAUCCCACAUUAAGAUUUUGCAUCCAAUAUUAAAGCGGGGUCUACAAUACACGUAGUAAGCGUAAAGGCAGGACUUUGAGUAAAAAAUAAAACGAAUUUAUUUGCUGACGCCCUUACUCCAGCUCCUUACACCGGCACUACGUAGCAUUACACCUACUUUUACUUCUUACACCAGGCUUACUCCGUGUAUUGUAGACCCCGCUUAAGACUGCAUCCAAUAUUAAAACUUUGCAUCUCGCAUAUAAAAGACAAAAUUUUACAACUGUGAUUAGUCCAAAUCUAAGGAGUCGCUAUUGCUACUCCACCAGUUACUCAUUCUGGCUGUAAUGGAGCUCCGCCUGGAGCCUAAGGCCAUUUAAUAUAGAAGGAUUCGCUGGUCGACCGUGUAUCAGUAAAGGUGAUUCCAAUAGAGUGAAAAAGCGCGAUUAGGAUUGCUGAUGCAAUCCACCCUGAAUUCGUGUAAUAACAUAGACUUUGCAUUGAAUGGAAACGCCCAAUUACCUGCGGCGAGUGCACACUCAGUGCGCACUAAUUCUCCCAAGGAAGAACGCUAUUAGUUUCAUGUGAAAAUGCGUCUAAUGAACCUAAUUUCAUCAAAAUUGGAGGUGGUGGGGAUAUUAACAUUUACCAAUUAUUUAUAGAUCGAAGCUUACUCUGCUACUCUCAAAUGCAGCAACCACAAUUCUCUGCCACUGCAGUAUUUGUCACAGCCUGCUCAAGUAGCAUGCAGGUUUCAACUACAAACAUUAGAUGUGGGUUCGACUCAUCACAUUUCUGUAUCGUAUGCAGAAGAUGGCCCACAAAACUUUUGUGUACAGAUUGAAGGGAAGCAAAGGGAAGAGUUAACUCGACUUGAGAACAAGAUAAAUAGGUGUCCAAAGCAACCACUGCAGAAACCAUUGCCAGGAUUGGUUUGCCUAGGACGCUACAAUGACGAAGGCUUCAAGGUGAUGCGUCGAGCGCUUAUCUUGUUUGUGAAGGAGCACCUAUGUAAAUUAUAUUACCUUGAUUAUGGCAAUAUGGGAGUUUUGCCAUACACGGACAUUUUCCAUUUACCACCUGAAUACAUGGAUCCUGAGGCAUUUGCUAUUAAGUUUGCAUUAAGCGGCUUAAAGGAACUGGUGAUCUCACCUGAAAUGAUAAAGUAUUUUAUGCUACUAGUGCACAGAAGAUUUACAGGACUUACUUUACAUGUCAAGUCAACGGACAGAAUAAUCUUACGUCAUUAUGGCGAUUUGUAUUUAAAUGGUUUGAAUGUUAAAGAUAUAUUAAAAGAAAGAUUUCAGGUAUCAUUCACGAUAAAUUUUGUAAAUUAUUCCUACUUGCAAUUACGACGAUCGACGGAAGAUUAUCAUAAAGUGCAUAUUUCUUAUGUAGAGUCAAGUAAAAAAUUCUUUGUGCAACUUGACAGUGGGAUAAAGCCUCUUGAGUCAAUAAUGGCCGACCUGGCGCAGUAUGCAAGAAACGCGCCUAGGUUAGAUAAAUUACAACUAAAAGCAGGAAUACCCUGUGCCGCUCUACAUGAUUCGCAAUGGUACCGUGCACAAAUCCUUGCCAUUGUUAAUGGCCAAAUUAAAGUAGUAUAUGUUGAUUAUGGAAACAAGGAGUUAUUAUCUGAAGUAUCUAUUUGCGCUAUUCGUGACGAUUUGAUAAUGAAAUUACCUGCUCAAGCUAUACAGUGUGCACUGAAUAACCAUGAAAGUCUUAUUGGAUCAGAAGUGGCUAAUCUUUUCGAAAGAUUGACAUUUGAGAAAAGUUUUAUCAUGAAAGUAGUCGCCACACAAUCCAAUCCUAUUAGUCAAUUUAUUCAAAUUUGACUUAAAGAGGAGCGUUUAUUCUCAGUCACUGAGUAACAUAGUCUGCGAUAAAACCAACAAUUCUACAAGCUCACAAAAUGAAGAAAUUCAGCUUGUAAAGCCAAAUGAAUUUCAAAGGAAAGAUAAGGAUAAAUAUAAAAAAAACAUGGAUUUUUGGAAUUGUAAUCAAAACACUAUGUUUAACCAAGACAAUAAACCAGAUUGGAGAGAUGAAUGGUCUUCAGAGAAACAAUACGACACUAG
Molecule: RNA transcript, 3160 nt
Organism: Solenopsis invicta (red fire ant)
Lineage: Eukaryota; Metazoa; Arthropoda; Insecta; Hymenoptera; Formicidae
Gene name: maternal protein tudor-like
Exons: 3
Source: RefSeq, a predicted model, not a curated record